Molecule: ribosomal RNA, 953 nt
Filed under: Didymella sinensis
Lineage: Eukaryota; Fungi; Ascomycota; Dothideomycetes; Pleosporales; Didymellaceae
Description: eukaryotic LSU rRNA
Rfam family: Eukaryotic large subunit ribosomal RNA
Source: RNAcentral
UUGCCCUAGUAACGGCGAGUGAAGCGGCAACAGCUCAAAUUUGAAAUCUGGCGUCUUCGGCGUCCGAGUUGUAAUUUGCAGAGGGCGCUUUGGCAUUGGCAGCGGUCCAAGUUCCUUGGAACAGGACGUCACAGAGGGUGAGAAUCCCGUACGUGGUCGCUAGCCUUUACCGUGUAAAGCCCCUUCGACGAGUCGAGUUGUUUGGGAAUGCAGCUCUAAAUGGGAGGUAAAUUUCUUCUAAAGCUAAAUACUGGCCAGAGACCGAUAGCGCACAAGUAGAGUGAUCGAAAGAUGAAAAGCACUUUGGAAAGAGAGUUAAAAAGCACGUGAAAUUGUUGAAAGGGAAGCGCUUGCAGCCAGACUUGCCUGUAGUUGCUCAUCCGGGUUUCUACCCGGUGCACUCUUCUAUAGGCAGGCCAGCAUCAGUUUGGGCGGUUGGAUAAAGGUCUCUGUCAUGUACCUCUCUUCGGGGAGAACUUAUAGGGGAGACGACAUGCAACCAGCCUGGACUGAGGUCCGCGCAUCUGCUAGGAUGCUGGCGUAAUGGCUGUAAGCGGCCCGUCUUGAAACACGGACCAAGGAGUCUAACAUCUAUGCGAGUGUUUGGGUGUCAAGCCCGAGCGCGUAAUGAAAGUGAACGGAGGUGGGAACCUUUCGGGGUGCACCAUCGACCGAUCCUGAUGUCUUCGGAUGGAUUUGAGUAAGAGCAUAGCUGUUGGGACCCGAAAGAUGGUGAACUAUGCUUGAAUAGGGUGAAGCCAGAGGAAACUCUGGUGGAGGCUCGCAGCGGUUCUGACGUGCAAAUCGAUCGUCAAAUUUGGGCAUAGGGGCGAAAGACUAAUCGAACUAUCUAGUAGCUGGUUCCUGCCGAAGUUUCCCUCAGGAUAGCAGUAACGUUUUCAGUUUUAUGAGGUAAAGCGAAUGAUUAGAGGCCUGGGGGUUGAAACAACCUU